This is a long non-coding RNA of Carassius auratus (goldfish), 2216 nucleotides long. Lineage: Eukaryota; Metazoa; Chordata; Actinopteri; Cypriniformes; Cyprinidae. The record is from Ensembl.
GCCAGAGGUAAAUGAAUCCAAGUACAGUUCUUUAUUUACAAGAUAGUGAAAGUCGGGUAAGUAGAAAGUGUUCGGUGCAGAUCACACAGUGCGGGUGUAGGAAGGUGAGUAUGUCUUUUGCAGAGUUGUCACUGCCACUCACUUUUUGCUAAUCUUGGUCUCUUUCACAGAUCGCUCUAAGAACAGGAGGAUAUCAGGCAAACACAGGAUAUUUUGGGAAUCGUUGGAUUUCAGGCCACGGGGUAGUGUCCAGGAAUCCAGGAGGCAGUAGAAUAAUAACACAGAGGUUAGUGUUUAAAAGGUAAGUAUUGAAAUUGAACUAGGUCUGUGGUGAGUGAUUAGUAUCUAAUUGAUCAAUACUAGUAUCUAUAAAAUACAUACUAGUAUCCAAUGAAUAACUACUAGUACAUUAAAAUUAUGUACUAGAUGCUAGUAGAAUACAUACUAGUCAAAUCGGAACAGUUGAUAUUUCAAUAACGGAACGGAUCCCAAUAGAAGUCAAUUGAGUUUGUCAAAUUUAAAGAACACUUUGAUUGACAGCAGUGGUCCUAUAGGUUGCUCAGAAUGAGAUAGUACAAUGUGAAGAUAUAGUGUUAUAGUUCUGCAAUUUGAGGUCAUUUACUAUAGAAAAAUAGUGUUUUUUAAAAGCCUUUUUGACUGUUUAAUGCCAAUAAUGUUCCUAUCUCUGUGAAACUUUGCAUGCUUGUUAAGAAUCAAAUAUCUCAUGCUCACCUAGUUUUCGUUAAGGCUUUAUUGGGAUUUUGGGUAUUUUUGGACAUGUCCCUUUUCUUAAUUGUAAUGUUCUGCCCGAGUUUCCCUGGUUUCACCACUGGAUGGUGUACUUUCAACCCCAGAUCACCUCUUUAUUAGAGACUUGCACCACACCUGUAUUGAAUCUCUCCUAAUUGCCCACCUUCUUUUGAUGCCUCACUGUCUAUUGUUCUUGUUCGUUCCUAAAGUCUGUUUGAGAAUGAUGCUGCUAAGGAUUUUUGGUUGGAGAAUUUUGCUGUCUUCUGCUUUGGUGUCCAAAGACAGAAUUUGGCUACAUUUUCAUUCAUCUCUUGAGGAAACCCAGGAGUGCUGCUGUGGCAGGCAAAUUAUCACUGGAAAGGGAAUUCCGUGCAGGUUCCUCCAUCAAACCGGGUCGGAAAAGACUGACUACAUCCUUCCACAACACCCAUUAAAACACAAGCAAAUGUAGUCAAAUAAGGAUUGCCUCCACCUGGACUUAGCUUGAUAAUGUAAUGCCAGGAGCACUCCUGUUUUGUUUCUGAAAACACUACAUUACACUGGGCAAACUUAACUGAACAUGCUUUUGCAAGAACUUUAAUAGGACCCUAACACAAGGUAAGACAGCAGUGUAGAUAAAUAAAACUGUAGCAUCAUGGCAGCAAAAGAGUUCAACUGGUAUGUUUACACUUAUUUUGUUCAGUCAGUAUCCAGUCUGAUUUCAGAUUCAGAAAGUUCUUUUCAUAUAGAACCAUUGAGACACUGUUUUCCAAAUGAAUGUUGUUCAGUGCUUUGGCGCAAUGUAUUUUGUUUAAAGCACUAUAUAAAUAAAGGUGAUUGAUUGAUUGAUUGAGAUGUAACAAUCCAAUUCAUAUAUUCCUUUUUAUACAGACGUGCUUGAAUGUGUAGAAGAAACAGAUAAUAAGAAAUAAAAAGAUUUGAAUAAAUACACAUGUGUGUGUGUGUGUGUGUGUUUUAUUCAUAUAUUUUUUGAAGAAGGAGAACAUUUAACUGUUCAUGAGAUGGAUUGACUGGGGGAAGAAACUUUUCCUGUGCCUGGCAGACCUGGGCCCGUGUUCAUGAAAAGAGUUGCUCCUAAAUUUAAAAUAAAUUCUUAGAAAUGUGUCCGUUUCCACAUAAAAUUAAAGGAAAGAUCCUAGUGAAAAAGGAAAGUAAUUCAGAAAGCAUCUUAACCCUUAAAAUAGCUCUUAAGGUCCAAAAGUAGUUAGGAAUAUUGACAAGGAUUUUAAAGAGCUUAAUGGUGUCUUUAGCAGUGGAGAAAAUCAAAGAAAUGUGAAGAGAGAGAAGCAAAGCUUUGCACACAAUGCAUGACAGUGAGUUAAUAAGACACUACACAUUAGAUCGUGCAGUGAUCAUGUUUGACCGUGAUCAUGUGAUCAUGAAAGAUAUUAUAAGAGACAACAUCUCUGACAUGGUUUAAAAAUGCUAUAGCGCCAGAAAUUAAAGUAAUCACUCCAUUAACUAUG